AGAGUUUGAUCAUGGCUCAGGAUGAACGCUAGCUGGAGGCUUAAUACAUGCAAGUCGAGCGGGAUUGGUAGCAAUACCAUGAGAGCGGCGAACGGGUGAGUAACACGUGAGCGAUCUGCCCUCGACACUGGGAUAGCCCGGGGAAACCCGGACUAAUACCGGAUAGCCUCUCGAGCUUUCGGGCUCGUGAGAAAAGAUGGCUUCGGCUUUCGGUCGAGGAGGAGCUUGCGGCGGAUUAGCUUGUUGGUGAGGUAACGGCUCACCAAGGCGACGAUCCGUAGCUGGUCUGAGAGGACGAUCAGCCACACUGGGACUGAGACACGGCCCAGACUCCUACGGGAGGCAGCAGUGGGGAAUCUUGCGCAAUGGGCGAAAGCCUGACGCAGCGACGCCGCGUGAGGGAAGAAGGCCUUCGGGUUGUAAACCUCUUUCAGGAGGGACGAAGCUACUCGGGUUAAUAGCCCAGAGGGUGACGGUACCUCCAGAAGAAGCCCCGGCUAACUACGUGCCAGCAGCCGCGGUAAUUC
Molecule: ribosomal RNA, 527 nt
Filed under: uncultured bacterium
Lineage: Bacteria
Description: bacterial SSU rRNA
Rfam family: Bacterial small subunit ribosomal RNA
Source: RNAcentral